RNAcentral lists this ribosomal RNA (501 nucleotides) under uncultured Glomus. Its description in RNAcentral is "SSU rRNA". It matches the Rfam family "Eukaryotic small subunit ribosomal RNA", at positions 569 to 1078 of the family's 1831-position model. Lineage: Eukaryota; Fungi; Glomeromycota; Glomeromycetes; Glomerales; Glomeraceae. The record is from RNAcentral.
CGCAGCCGCGGUAAUUCCAGCUCCAAUAGCGCAUAUUAAAGUUGUUGCAGUUAAAAAGCUCGUAGUUGAAUUUCGGGGUCGGUAGGUUGGUCAUGCCUCUGGUAUGCACUGGUCUCACUGAUUCCUCCUUCCUGAUGAGCCGUAAUGCCAUUAAUUUGGUGUUGCGAGGAAUCUGGACUGUUACUUUGAAAAAAUUGAGUGUUUAAAGCAGGCUCACGCUUGAAUACAUUAGCAUGGAAUAACGGAAUAGGACGUUUGAUUCUAUUUUGUGGUUUCUAGGAUCGACGUAAUGAUUAAUAGGGAUAGUUGGGGGCAUUAGUAUUCAAUUGUCAGAGGUGAAAUUCUUGGAUUUAUUGAAGACUAACUACUGCGAAAGCAUUUGCCAAGGAUGUUUUCAUUAAUCAAGAACGAAAGUUAGGGAUCGAAGACGAUCAGAUACCGUGUAGUCUUAACCAUAAACUAUGCCGACUAGGGAUCGGAUGAUGUUAUUUUUANGACUUC